CCUACGGGUGGCAGCAGUAGGGAAUAUUGCUCAAUGGGGGAAACCCUGAAGCAGCAACGCCGCGUGGAGGAUGAAGGUUUUAGGAUUGUAAACUCCUUUUGUGAGAGAAGUUAAUGACGGUAUCUGACGAAUAAGCACCGGCUAACUCCGUUCCAGCAGCCGCGGUAAUACGGCGGGUGCAAGCGUUACUCGGAAGCACUGGGCGUAAAGGGGGCGCAGGCGGGUUUGUAAGUCAGAUGUGAAAGUGUGUAGCUUAACUUCAGAACUGCAUUUGAAACUAGGAGUCUUGAGUGGGGGAGAGGUAGGUGGAAUUCGUGGGGUAGGGGUAAAAUCCGUAGAUAUCACGAAGAAUACUCAUUGCGAAGGCGACCUACUAAAACGUUACUGACACUCAUGCACGAAAGCGUGGGGAGCAAACAGGAUUAGAUACCCCUGUAGUC
RNAcentral lists this ribosomal RNA (440 nucleotides) under uncultured bacterium. RNAcentral describes it as "partial 16S ribosomal RNA". It matches the Rfam family "Bacterial small subunit ribosomal RNA", at positions 338 to 795 of the family's 1533-position model. The record is from RNAcentral.